Nasonia vitripennis (jewel wasp) is the source of this 45-nucleotide non-coding RNA. Lineage: Eukaryota; Metazoa; Arthropoda; Insecta; Hymenoptera; Pteromalidae. The record is from Rfam.
CAAUCAGCCCUUUUCAGGGCUACCAAAAUUUUAUAACGUAGUUCA